Molecule: long non-coding RNA, 687 nt
Filed under: Gallus gallus (chicken)
Lineage: Eukaryota; Metazoa; Chordata; Aves; Galliformes; Phasianidae
Description: long non-coding RNA NONGGAT008614
Source: RNAcentral
CCCCGCUCCAUUAAAGAGUAUCUGGGCUCAGAUCAGGUGUUACAGGGCUGAAGGACAGCUCUAGCGGCAAUUUCUUCUCCAUUCAGGAGGGCACCACGGAGCAGCUGCACUCAGCGAGUUGGGCUACCGACAGCCCAACCUUUCUCCAUGCGUUCCCAUGGCAACAGCGCCCAGGCCCCUACCUGCCCGCUCCCAGGCACAGGCAUUACCUUUCUCCAUCUGUAGAGGCUUUCUUCUUCAGCUGUGCUCCCGGGGCAGAGCCCAGCACUCCUGCAGCAUGGAUUCGGUUCAGGUCCAACCAGGUGCCACCAACGUAAGAAGCUAAAAGCACUAAAACCCUUCGAGCCAUCUGGAAAUGUAAGAACUAUUCAAGAGCAGUCUGGCCCCCUCCUCACACUGGCUCUGCAAGCGCUGCCUGGCCCUCUCCUCACACUGGCUCCGAGGUCUGCACACCCACAUGUAAAUGCAGAGCCUGGCAGUACAUUCAUCACCGUGCUAAUUGGCACCACUUCGCAUCAGGUCAUAUUCCAAUCCUUGGCCAGCGCUCACUGUUUACAUGCCGUGCCCUGCGUGCUGCCACACUGAGCCUGGCUGCAACAGACAGAAUGGCCCCAAAACAGCUGGCUGUGAACAGUGCUAGUCCUAUCAACAAACUUGCCUUCGGGGAUUAAAAUCACAUCGUCCUGG